AAAGGACCCCACAGCCCUGGGGGGAGACAGAAGCAAGGCCAAUCAGAAGAACUGCUUUCCACGGUGGAUGAAAAUGGGAGAAGAUGACACUUCCCACUGUCGCCCUCGAUAUAAGGCUGCAGGUGUGCCAGGGAUUGGCUGUGCCAUGACACAGUGUGUCCUCACGAGGCAGCAAAGCUGAUGCACACAGAGUGGUGGGAGAGAGUGAAGAAUUGCAUCUCUUCUUCCUGCUGGCCUGCUUGGACUUCAGUCCAUGGUCAGUAGCUCCAGUCUCAGGACUUCCUAAACUCAACCCUUGGAACAUUUGUUCUCUGAAGAAUACACUCCACGCUGAAGGAGAGGAUGAGAAAUCCAUUCACCAAGCACCGAGUGCCUCUGCUCUUCCUGCUGCUGCUACCACCAAUGCAGCUUCAAGGGACAUUCUCA
This is a long non-coding RNA of Octodon degus (degu), 426 nucleotides long. RefSeq lists it as uncharacterized. NCBI's taxonomy places the organism in Eukaryota, Metazoa, Chordata, Mammalia, Rodentia, Octodontidae. The record is from RefSeq and is a predicted model, not a curated record. The transcript has 3 exons.